GAUGAACGCUGGCGGCGUGCCUAAUACAUGCAAGUCGAGCGAACAGACGAGGAGCUUGCUCCUCUGACGUUAGCGGCGGACGGGUGAGUAACACGUGGAUAACCUACCUAUAAGACUGGGAUCACUUCGGGAAACCGGAGCUAAUACCGGAUAAUAUCUUGAACCGCAUGGUUCAAUAGUGAAAGACGGUUUUGCUGUCACUUCUAGAUGGAUCCGCGCCGCAUUAGCUAGUUGGUAAGGUAACGGCUUACCAAGGCAACGAUGCGUAGCCGACCUGAGAGGGUGAUCGGCCACACUGGAACUGAGACACGGUCCAGACUCCUACGGGAGGCAGCAGUAGGGAAUCUUCCGCAAUGGGCGAAAGCCUGACGGAGCAACGCCGCGUGAGUGAUGAAGGUCUUCGGAUCGUAAAACUCUGUUAUUAGGGAAGAACAAAUGUGUAAGUAACUAUGCACGUCUUGACGGUACCUAAUCAGAAAGCCACGGCUAACUACGUG
This 497-nucleotide ribosomal RNA is filed under the name uncultured bacterium. Its description in RNAcentral is "partial 16S ribosomal RNA". It matches the Rfam family "Bacterial small subunit ribosomal RNA", at positions 28 to 507 of the family's 1533-position model. The record is from RNAcentral.